ACAACACGUUACACUGUAUAUAUGGUAACUCCCUCCAUUCAAUACAACACGUUACACUGUAUAUAUGGUAACUCCCUCCAUUCAAUACAACACGUUACACUGUAUAUAUGGUAACUCCCUCCAUUCAAUACAACACGUUACACUGUAUAUAUGGUAACUCCCUCCAUUCAAUACAACACGUUACACUGUAUAUAUGGUAACUCCCUCCAUUCAAUACAACACGUCACACUGUAGGUAGGUAGGUAAUGCUGAUCUAUGGUAACUCCCUCCAUUCAAUACAACACGUUACACUGUAGGUAUGGUAACUCCCUCCAUUCAAUACAACACGUUACACUGUAGGUAUGGUAACUCCCUCCAUUCAAUACAACACGUUACACUGUAUAUAUGGUAACUCCCUCCAUUCAAUACAACACGUUACACUGUAUAUAUGGUAACUCCCUCCAUUCAAUACAACACGUUACACUGUAUAUAUGGUAACUCCCUCCAUUCAAUACAACACGUUACACUGUAGGUAUGGUAACUCCCUCCAUUCAAUACAACACGUCACACUGUAUAUAUGGUAACUCCCUCCAUUCAAUACAACACGUUACACUGUAUAUAUGGUAACUCCCUCUAGGUAGGUAGGUAGGUAAUGCUGAUCUAUGGUAACUCCCUCCAUUCAAUACAACACGUUACACUGUAGGUAUGGUAACUCCCUCCAUUCAAUACAACACGUUACACUGUAGGUAUGGUAACUCCCUCCAUUCAAUACAACACGUUACACUGUAUAUAUGGUAACUCCCUCCAUUCAAUACAACACGUUACACUGUAUAUAUGGUAACUCCCUCCAUUCAAUACAACACGUUACACUGUAUAUAUGGUAACUCCCUCCAUUCAAUACAACACGUUACACUGUAUAUAUGGUAACUCCCUCCAUUCAAUACAACACGUUACACUGUAUAUAUGGUAACUCCCUCCAUUCAAUACAACACGUUACACUGUAUGUAUGGUAACUCCCUCCAUUCAAUACAACACGUUACACUGUAUAUAUGGUAACUCCCUCCAUUCAAUACAACACGUUACACUGUAGGUAGGUAGGUAAUGCUGAUCUAUUGUAACUCCCUCUAGGUAGGUAGGUAGGUAAUGCUGAUCUAUUGUAACUCCCUCUAGGUAGGUAGGUAGGUAGGUAGGUAGGUAGGUAGGUAGGUAAUGCUGAUCUAUGGUAGGUAGGUAGGUAAUGCUGAUCUAUUGUAACUCCCUCUAGGUAGGUAGGUAGGUAAUGCUGAUCUAUGGUAACUCCCUCCAUUCAAUACAACACGUUACACUGUAUAUAUGGUAACUCCCUCCAUUCAAUACAACACGUUACACUGUAUAUAUGGUAACUCCCUCCAUUCAAUACAACACGUUACACUGUAUGUAUGGUAACUCCCUCCAUUCAAUACAACACGUUACACUGUAUAUAUGGUAACUCCCUCCAUUCAAUACAACACGUUACACUGUAUAUAUGGUAACUCCCUCCAUUCAAUACAACACGUUACACUGUAUAUAUGGUAACUCCCUCCAUUCAAUACAACACGUUACACUGUAUAUAUGGUAACUCCCUCCAUUCAAUACAACACGUUACACUGUAUAUAUGGUAACUCCCUCCAUUCAAUACAACACGUUACACUGUAUAUAUGGUAACUCCCUCCAUUCAAUACAACACGUUACACUGUAGGUAGGUAGGUAAUGCUGAUCUAUUGUAACUCCCUCUAGGUAGGUAGGUAGGUAAUGCUGAUCUAUUGUAACUCCCUCUAGGUAGGUAGGUAGGUAGGUAGGUAGGUAGGUAGGUAGGUAAUGCUGAUCUAUGGUAGGUAGGUAGGUAAUGCUGAUCUAUUGUAACUCCCUCUAGGUAGGUAGGUAGGUAAUGCUGAUCUAUUGUAACUCCCUCUAGGUAGGUAGGUAGGUAGGUAGGUAGGUAGGUAGGUAGGUAGGUAGGUAGGUAAUGCUGAUCUAUGGUAGGUAGGUAGGUAAUGCUGAUCUAUUGUAACUCCCUCUAGGUAGGUAGGUAGGUAAUGCUGAUCUAUUGUAACUCCCUCUAGGUAGGUAGGUAGGUAAUGCUGAUCUAUUGUAACUCCCUCUAGGUAGGUAGGUAGGUAGGUAGGUAAUGCUGAUCUAUGGUAGGUAGGUAGGUAAUGCUGAUCUAUUGUAACUCCCUCUAGGUAGGUAGGUAGGUAGGUAGGUAGGUAGGUAGGUAGGUAGGUAGGUAAUGCUGAUCUAUGGUAGGUAGGUAGGUAAUGCUGAUCUAUUGUAACUCCCUCUAGGUAGGUAGGUAGGUAGGUAGGUAGGUAAUGCUGAUCUAUUGUAACUCCC
Non-coding RNA from Salmo salar (Atlantic salmon), 2331 nucleotides. The record is from RefSeq and is a predicted model, not a curated record. Lineage: Eukaryota; Metazoa; Chordata; Actinopteri; Salmoniformes; Salmonidae.